GAGCAAAGGCGUCUAAGAAAAGAUGGCGCGAUAUUUGCAUUGAAGGUUGGCUAAAUCGAAAAAGCAAUUCUCCGUGCCUCUCACUACUUCCCAUUUUGAUGACGGCCUCGAACAAAUUGCUACAUU
Magnolia sinica is the source of this 126-nucleotide small nucleolar RNA. Lineage: Eukaryota; Viridiplantae; Streptophyta; Magnoliopsida; Magnoliales; Magnoliaceae. The record is from RefSeq and is a predicted model, not a curated record.